RNAcentral lists this unclassified non-coding RNA (367 nucleotides) under uncultured bacterium. Its description in RNAcentral is "contains 16S-23S intergenic spacer region". The record is from RNAcentral.
UCCCGGUUGGCCCGGGCGGUCUCGUGUGAAAAAUACAACACACGACAAGGGUUGCGCUCGUUGCGGGACUUAACCCAACAUCUCACGACACGAGCUGACGACGGCCAUGCAGCACCUGUCACCAGUCCAGCCGAACUGACCACCUAGUUUCUUAGGUGUACGACUGGGAUGUCAAGCCCUGGUAAGGUUCUACGCGUAGCAUCGUAUUAAACCACAUCAUCCUCCGCUUGUGCGGAGCCCCGUCAAUUCCUUUGAGUUUUAAUCUUGCGAUCGUACUCCCCAGGCGGCAUACUUAACGCGUUAGCUUCUCAGCACAAAGGGUCGAUACUUCGUACUAAUAGUAUGCAUCGUUUACGGCGUGGACUAC